Molecule: ribosomal RNA, 464 nt
Filed under: uncultured bacterium
Lineage: Bacteria
Description: partial 16S ribosomal RNA
Rfam family: Bacterial small subunit ribosomal RNA
Source: RNAcentral
GACGAACGCUGGCGGCGUGCUUAACACAUGCCAGUCGAACGGAAAGGCCCUGCUUGCAGGCUACUCGAGUGGCGAACGGGUGAGUAACACGUGGGUGAUCUGCCCUGCACUUCGGGAUAAGCUUGGGAAACUGGGUCUAAUACCGGAUAGGAACCAUCUUUAGUGUGGUGGUUGGAAAGUUUUUUCGGUGUAGGAUGAGCUCGCGGCCUAUCAGCUUGUUGGUGGGGUAAUGGCCUACCAAGGCGGCGACGGGUAGCCGGCCUGAGAGGGUGUACGGCCACAUUGGGACUGAGAUACGGCCCAGACUCCUACGGGAGGCAGCAGUGGGGAAUAUUGCACAAUGGGCGCAAGCCUGAUGCAGCGACGCCGCGUGGGGGAUGAAGGCCUUCGGGUUGUAAACUCCUUUCGCUAGGGACGAAGCUUUUUGUGACGGUACCUAGAUAAGAAGCACCGGCUAACUACGU